RNAcentral lists this ribosomal RNA (1281 nucleotides) under metagenome. Its description in RNAcentral is "bacterial LSU rRNA". It matches the Rfam family "Bacterial large subunit ribosomal RNA", at positions 1665 to 2925 of the family's 2925-position model. The record is from RNAcentral.
UGUCAGGUAGAGAAUACCGAGGCGAUCGGGCGAACUGUGGUUAAGGAACUCGGCAAAUUACCCCCGUAACUUCGGGAGAAGGGGGGCCACAGACUGUCAUACCCCACGCGGGUGGCAGCAGUAGGUGGCCGCAGAGACCAGGGGGAAGCGACUGUUUACUAAAAACACAGGUCCGUGCGAAGUCGUAAGACGAUGUAUACGGACUGACGCCUGCCCGGUGCUGGAACGUUAAGGGGACCGGUUAGUCCGCAAGGGCGAAGCUGAGAACUUAAGUGCCAGUAAACGGCGGUGGUAACUAUAACCAUCCUAAGGUAGCGAAAUUCCUUGUCGGGUAAGUUCCGACCUGCACGAAUGGCGUAACGACUUCCCUACUGUCUCAACCACAGGCCCGGCGAAAUUGCACUACGAGUAAAGAUGCUCGUUACGCGCGGAAGGACGGAAAGACCCCGGGACCUUCACUAUAGCUUGACAUUGGUAUCCGAAUUUAAUUGUGUAGGAUAGGUGGGAGGCUUUGAUCCGCGGACGCCAGUCCGUCGGGGAGCCAACGUUGAAAUACCACUCUGUUGACUUUGGGUAUCUAACUUCGGACCGUGAUCCGGUUCAGGGACAGUGUCUGGUGGGUAGUUUAACUGGGGCGGUUGCCUCCUAAAAUGUAACGGAGGCGCCCAAAGGUUCCCUCAGCCUGGUUGGCAAUCAGGUGUUGAGUGCAAGUGCACAAGGGAGCUUGACUGUGAGACUGACAGGUCGAGCAGGGACGAAAGUCGGGACUAGUAAUCCGGCACCUGCGAGUGGAAGCGGUGUCGCUCAACGGAUAAAAGGUACCCCGGGGAUAACAGGCUGAUCUUCCCCAAGAGUCCAUAUCGACGGGAUGGUUUGGCACCUCGAUGUCGGCUCGUCGCAUCCUGGGGCUGGAGUAGGUCCCAAGGGUUGGGCUGUUCGCCCAUUAAAGCGGCACGCGAGCUGGGUUUAGAACGUCGUGAGACAGUUCGGUCCCUAUCCUCCGCGCGCGUAGGAGACUUGAGAAGAGCUGUCCCUAGUACGAGAGGACCGGGACGGACGAACCUCUGGUGUGCCAGUUGUCAUGCCAAUGGCACGGCUGGUUAGCUACGUUCGGAAGGGAUAACCGCUGAAAGCAUCUAAGCGGGAAGCUCGCUUCAAGAUGAGGUCUCCCACCCCUUAGAGGGUUAAGGCCCCCAGCUAGACCACUGGGUUGAUAGGCCAGAAGUGUAAGCCUGGUAACAGGUUCAGCCGACUGGUACUAAUAGGCCGAGGACUUCACCG